GACGAACGCUGGCGGCGUGCCUAAUACAUGCAAGUAGAACGCUGAAGAGAGGAGCUUGCUCUUCUUGGAUGAGUUGCGAACGGGUGAGUAACGCGUAGGUAACCUGCCUGGUAGCGGGGGAUAACUAUUGGAAACGAUAGCUAAUACCGCAUAAAAUUGAUUAUUGCAUGAUAAUUAAUUGAAAGAUGCAACUGCAUCACUACCAGAUGGACCUGCGUUGUAUUAGCUAGUUGGUGAGGUAACGGCUCACCAAGGCGACGAUACAUAGCCGACCUGAGAGGGUGAUCGGCCACACUGGGACUGAGACACGGCCCAGACUCCUACGGGAGGCAGCAGUAGGGAAUCUUCGGCAAAGGGGGGAACCCUGACCGAGCAACGCCGCGUGAGUGAAGAAGGUUUUCGGAUCGUAAAGCUCUGUUGUAAGAGAAGAACGGGUGUGAGAGUGGAAAGUUCACACUGUGACGGUAUCUUACCAGAAAGGGACGGCUAACUACGU
RNAcentral lists this ribosomal RNA (496 nucleotides) under uncultured bacterium. RNAcentral describes it as "partial 16S ribosomal RNA". It matches the Rfam family "Bacterial small subunit ribosomal RNA", at positions 28 to 506 of the family's 1533-position model. The record is from RNAcentral.